UACGUAGGGACCAAGCGUUGUCCGGAAUCAUUGGGCGUAAAGAGCGUGUAGGCGGCUUGUUAAGUCUUGCGUGAAAUCUCGGGGCUCAACCCCGAGCGGUCGUGAGAAACUGGCAGGCUAGAGUGCGGGAGAGGAGAGUGGAAUUCCUGGUGUAGCGGUGAAAUGCGUAGAUAUCGGGAGGAACACCUGUGGCGAAAGCGGCUCACUGGACCACAACUGACGCUGAGGCGCGAAAGCUAGGGGAGCAAACAGG
RNAcentral lists this ribosomal RNA (253 nucleotides) under uncultured bacterium. RNAcentral's name for it is "partial 16S ribosomal RNA". It matches the Rfam family "Bacterial small subunit ribosomal RNA", at positions 524 to 776 of the family's 1533-position model. The record is from RNAcentral.